This 253-nucleotide ribosomal RNA is filed under the name uncultured bacterium. RNAcentral's name for it is "partial 16S ribosomal RNA". It matches the Rfam family "Bacterial small subunit ribosomal RNA", at positions 524 to 776 of the family's 1533-position model. The record is from RNAcentral.
UACGUUGGGGGCAAGCGUUGUCCGGAAUCAUUGGGCGUAAAGAGCGUGUAGGCGGCCCGAUAAGUCCGCUGUGAAAGUCCAGGGCUCAACCCUGGGAUGCCGGUGGAUACUGUCGGGCUCGAGUCCGGAAGAGGAGUGUGGAAUUCCUGGUGUAGCGGUGAAAUGCGCAGAUAUCAGGAGGAACACCAAUGGCGAAGGCAGCACUCUGGGACGUGACUGACGCUGAGACGCGAAAGCGUGGGGAGCAAACAGG